Molecule: ribosomal RNA, 707 nt
Filed under: bacterium
Lineage: Bacteria
Description: bacterial SSU rRNA
Rfam family: Bacterial small subunit ribosomal RNA
Source: RNAcentral
UAGAGUUUGAUCCUGGCUCAGGAUGAACGCUAGCGACAGGCUUAACACAUGCAAGUCGAGGGGCAGCACGGGAGUAGCAAUACAACUGGUGGCGACCGGCGCACGGGUGAGUAACGCGUAUGCAACCUACCUAUCAGAGGGGAAUAACCCGGCGAAAGUCGGACUAAUACCGCAUAAAACAGGGGCACCGCAUGGUGAUAUUUGUUAAAGAAAUUCGCUGAUAGAUGGGCAUGCGUUCCAUUAGGUAGUUGGUGAGGUAACGGCUCACCAAGCCGACGAUGGAUAGGGGAACUGAGAGGUUGGUCCCCCACACUGGUACUGAGACACGGACCAGACUCCUACGGGAGGCAGCAGUGAGGAAUAUUGGUCAAUGGGCGAGAGCCUGAACCAGCCAAGUCGCGUGAAGGAAGAAGGAUCUAUGGUUCGUAAACUUCUUUUGCAGGGGAAUAAAGUGCGGGACGUGUCCUGUUUUGUAUGUACCCUGAGAAUAAGGAUCGGCUAACUCCGUGCCAGCAGCCGCGGUAAUACGGAGGAUCCGAGCGUUAUCCGGAUUUAUUGGGUUUAAAGGGUGCGUAGGUGGUUUUAUAAGUCAGCGGUGAAAGUUUGCAGCUUAACUGUAAAAAUGCCGUUGAAACUGUAAGACUUGAGUGUAAAUGAGGUAGGCGGAAUGCGUGGUGUAGCGGUGAAAUGCAUAGAUAUCACGCAGA